GGAAUUUUGCGCAAUGGGCGAAAGCCUGACGCAGCAACGCCGCGUGGAGGAAGAAGGCCUCCGGGUCGUAAACUCCUGUCCCCAGGGACGAAAAAAAUGACGGUACCUGGGGAGGCAGCCCCGGCUAACUCCGUGCCAGCAGCCGCGGUAAUACGGGGGGGGCGAGCGUGGUUCGGAAUUACUGGGCGUAAAGGGCGCGUAGGCGGCACGAGAAGUUCUGGGUGAAAGCCCCCGGCUCAACCGGGGAAGGGCCUGGAAAACCAUCGGGCUGGAGUGCUGGAGAGGCAAGCGGAAUUUCUGGUGUAGCGGUGAAAUGCGUAGAUAUCAGAAGGAACACCUGCGGCGAAGGCGGCUUGCCGGACAGACACUGACGCUGAGGCGCGAAAGCCAGGGGAGCA
Molecule: ribosomal RNA, 398 nt
Filed under: uncultured bacterium
Lineage: Bacteria
Description: partial 16S ribosomal RNA
Rfam family: Bacterial small subunit ribosomal RNA
Source: RNAcentral